Molecule: long non-coding RNA, 515 nt
Organism: Gossypium raimondii (Peruvian cotton)
Lineage: Eukaryota; Viridiplantae; Streptophyta; Magnoliopsida; Malvales; Malvaceae
Exons: 2
Source: RefSeq, a predicted model, not a curated record
CCUAAACAGUAACCAUUUUAUUCUAGAAACCCUAGCUAAAAAAAUACUCUCAACGCCGCUCUGUACUACGGCCGAUUUUCAGCCUUGAAAUCCCUUGCCAAACUCCGAUCGCAGCGACGCAGACAAGGAUUUCGCGGCAGUUCUAGUCAGGUACGGGCAUACGGCGCCAGCUGGAGCAUGGCGUGGAGGCGUGCGUGUGGGAGGCUACUGCUGCAGCACUGGAGGCUGAAUGCUGCUAAGGAAGGCUAGGGUUGCGGUGGAUUUGGGCCAUCGGGCUGGGGUUGGAGGAUGGGCAUUAGGCUUAGUGGGUUUGUGUAGUUUAGGUUAAAACGGGUUGGGCCACGUUGGGCCAUGUAUUUGGACUAUUUUUGGACUGUUAUUUUAUUUGGUUUAUUUUACGGGCCCGAGCAAAAAUAGGCUAUUACACCCCUAAUUCAAGUUGGGCAAUUGUAGCCAUUUUAACAUCUAAAAAACAAUAAAUUAUAAAAAUAUAUAUAUUUUUAUGUUAAUGUUAA